This 627-nucleotide unclassified non-coding RNA is filed under the name Hevea brasiliensis (rubber tree). The record is from RNAcentral. Lineage: Eukaryota; Viridiplantae; Streptophyta; Magnoliopsida; Malpighiales; Euphorbiaceae.
GAGUAUGAUGCAUCACAAGACAGUGGAGACUCAACAUUUACUUUAUUUGCCUCCCUACUGGAUUCAGCUCUUCAAGGGUUAAUUUCAAUCCCUGAUUUGAUAUUACAUUUUGAGAAUUGUUGCCGUGAAGUCUCAGAGUCAAUUAGGUAUGGUUCUAAUGAAAUGCACAGAGUUAUGGAGGACAAAUUGAUGAGACAGAAGGCUCGGAUUUUGCUUGACGAGGCAGCUUCCUGGUCUCUCUUGUGGCAUCUUUAUGGAAAAGGAAAUGAAGAACUUCCAGAAGACCUAAUCAUGUUACCAACUACUUCACACUUAGAAGCUUGCCAAUUUGUGGUGAAGAAUCAUACUGCACAACUGUGCCUCCGGAUUGUGCAGUGGCUUGAAGGAUUAGCUUCCAAAGCCCUUGAUUUGGAUAGAAAGGUACGAGGCUCUCACGUUGGCACCUAUCUCCCCAGCUCCGGAAUUUGGCAUCACACUCAACGGUUCCUGAAGAAAGGUGUUUCAAAUCCAAAGACAAUUAAUCACUUGGACUUUGAUGCGCCUACGCGUGAACAUGCUCAGCAGUUACAUGAUGACAAAAAACAAGAUGAAUCUCUUCUGGAGGAUGUCUGGACUCUGUUAAGGGCA